RNAcentral lists this ribosomal RNA (2923 nucleotides) under Staphylococcus aureus. RNAcentral describes it as "23S ribosomal RNA". It matches the Rfam family "Bacterial large subunit ribosomal RNA". The record is from RNAcentral. Lineage: Bacteria; Bacillati; Bacillota; Bacilli; Caryophanales; Staphylococcaceae.
GAUUAAGUUAUUAAGGGCGCACGGUGGAUGCCUUGGCACUAGAAGCCAAUGAAGGACGUUACUAACGACGAUAUGCUUUGGGGAGCUGUAAGUAAGCUUUGAUCCAGAGAUUUCCGAAUGGGGAAACCCAGCAUGAGUUAUGUCAUGUUAUCGAUAUGUGAAUACAUAGCAUAUCAGAAGGCACACCCGGAGAACUGAAACAUCUUAGUACCCGGAGGAAGAGAAAGAAAAUUCGAUUCCCUUAGUAGCGGCGAGCGAAACGGGAAGAGCCCAAACCAACAAGCUUGCUUGUUGGGGUUGUAGGACACUCUAUACGGAGUUACAAAGGACGACAUUAGACGAAUCAUCUGGAAAGAUGAAUCAAAGAAGGUAAUAAUCCUGUAGUCGAAAAUGUUGUCUCUCUUGAGUGGAUCCUGAGUACGACGGAGCACGUGAAAUUCCGUCGGAAUCUGGGAGGACCAUCUCCUAAGGCUAAAUACUCUCUAGUGACCGAUAGUGAACCAGUACCGUGAGGGAAAGGUGAAAAGCACCCCGGAAGGGGAGUGAAAUAGAACCUGAAACCGUGUGCUUACAAGUAGUCAGAGCCCGUUAAUGGGUGAUGGCGUGCCUUUUGUAGAAUGAACCGGCGAGUUACGAUUUGAUGCAAGGUUAAGCAGUAAAUGUGGAGCCGUAGCGGAAGCGAGUCUGAAUAGGGCGUUUAGUAUUUGGUCGUAGACCCGAAACCAGGUGAUCUACCCUUGGUCAGGUUGAAGUUCAGGUAACACUGAAUGGAGGACCGAACCGACUUACGUUGAAAAGUGAGCGGAUGAACUGAGGGUAGCGGAGAAAUUCCAAUCGAACCUGGAGAUAGCUGGUUCUCUCCGAAAUAGCUUUAGGGCUAGCCUCAAGUGAUGAUUAUUGGAGGUAGAGCACUGUUUGGACGAGGGGCCCCUCUCGGGUUACCGAAUUCAGACAAACUCCGAAUGCCAAUUAAUUUAACUUGGGAGUCAGAACAUGGGUGAUAAGGUCCGUGUUCGAAAGGGAAACAGCCCAGACCACCAGCUAAGGUCCCAAAAUAUAUGUUAAGUGGAAAAGGAUGUGGCGUUGCCCAGACAACUAGGAUGUUGGCUUAGAAGCAGCCAUCAUUUAAAGAGUGCGUAAUAGCUCACUAGUCGAGUGACACUGCGCCGAAAAUGUACCGGGGCUAAACAUAUUACCGAAGCUGUGGAUUGUCCUUUGGACAAUGGUAGGAGAGCGUUCUAAGGGCGUUGAAGCAUGAUCGUAAGGACAUGUGGAGCGCUUAGAAGUGAGAAUGCCGGUGUGAGUAGCGAAAGACGGGUGAGAAUCCCGUCCACCGAUUGACUAAGGUUUCCAGAGGAAGGCUCGUCCGCUCUGGGUUAGUCGGGUCCUAAGCUGAGGCCGACAGGCGUAGGCGAUGGAUAACAGGUUGAUAUUCCUGUACCACCUAUAAUCGUUUUAAUCGAUGGGGGGACGCAGUAGGAUAGGCGAAGCGUGCGAUUGGAUUGCACGUCUAAGCAGUAAGGCUGAGUAUUAGGCAAAUCCGGUACUCGUUAAGGCUGAGCUGUGAUGGGGAGAAGACAUUGUGUCUUCGAGUCGUUGAUUUCACACUGCCGAGAAAAGCCUCUAGAUAGAAAAUAGGUGCCCGUACCGCAAACCGACACAGGUAGUCAAGAUGAGAAUUCUAAGGUGAGCGAGCGAACUCUCGUUAAGGAACUCGGCAAAAUGACCCCGUAACUUCGGGAGAAGGGGUGCUCUUUAGGGUUAACGCCCAGAAGAGCCGCAGUGAAUAGGCCCAAGCGACUGUUUAUCAAAAACACAGGUCUCUGCUAAACCGUAAGGUGAUGUAUAGGGGCUGACGCCUGCCCGGUGCUGGAAGGUUAAGAGGAGUGGUUAGCUUCUGCGAAGCUACGAAUCGAAGCCCCAGUAAACGGCGGCCGUAACUAUAACGGUCCUAAGGUAGCGAAAUUCCUUGUCGGGUAAGUUCCGACCCGCACGAAAGGCGUAACGAUUUGGGCACUGUCUCAACGAGAGACUCGGUGAAAUCAUAGUACCUGUGAAGAUGCAGGUUACCCGCGACAGGACGGAAAGACCCCGUGGAGCUUUACUGUAGCCUGAUAUUGAAAUUCGGCACAGCUUGUACAGGAUAGGUAGGAGCCUUUGAAACGUGAGCGCUAGCUUACGUGGAGGCGCUGGUGGGAUACUACCCUAGCUGUGUUGGCUUUCUAACCCGCACCACUUAUCGUGGUGGGAGACAGUGUCAGGCGGGCAGUUUGACUGGGGCGGUCGCCUCCUAAAAGGUAACGGAGGCGCUCAAAGGUUCCCUCAGAAUGGUUGGAAAUCAUUCAUAGAGUGUAAAGGCAUAAGGGAGCUUGACUGCGAGACCUACAAGUCGAGCAGGGUCGAAAGACGGACUUAGUGAUCCGGUGGUUCCGCAUGGAAGGGCCAUCGCUCAACGGAUAAAAGCUACCCCGGGGAUAACAGGCUUAUCUCCCCCAAGAGUUCACAUCGACGGGGAGGUUUGGCACCUCGAUGUCGGCUCAUCGCAUCCUGGGGCUGUAGUCGGUCCCAAGGGUUGGGCUGUUCGCCCAUUAAAGCGGUACGCGAGCUGGGUUCAGAACGUCGUGAGACAGUUCGGUCCCUAUCCGUCGUGGGCGUAGGAAAUUUGAGAGGAGCUGUCCUUAGUACGAGAGGACCGGGAUGGACAUACCUCUGGUGUACCAGUUGUCGUGCCAACGGCAUAGCUGGGUAGCUAUGUGUGGACGGGAUAAGUGCUGAAAGCAUCUAAGCAUGAAGCCCCCCUCAAGAUGAGAUUUCCCAACUUCGGUUAUAAGAUCCCUCAAAGAUGAUGAGGUUAAUAGGUUCGAGGUGGAAGCAUGGUGACAUGUGGAGCUGACGAAUACUAAUCGAUCGAAGACUUAAUCAA